Sipha flava (yellow sugarcane aphid) is the source of this 564-nucleotide long non-coding RNA. RefSeq lists it as uncharacterized. Lineage: Eukaryota; Metazoa; Arthropoda; Insecta; Hemiptera; Aphididae. The record is from RefSeq and is a predicted model, not a curated record. The transcript is spliced from 4 exons.
GCAAUUAAAUUUGACAACACAAUGUUAUUAUUAAUUGAAAAAAAAAACUUAAUGACAGUAAGUUUUUUUUUUCAUUUAUAACGAAUACUAGGAAUGAAUUGAAGAAAUAAAGCAGUCCAAAAUAACGCUACCGCGAUCGACAAAAUGAAGUCUACAAAAGAUUAUAGGAACUUAUUAUAAGGAUGAAUGAUAAAUAGUACUAAUUAACACGUCUGGUCAUUGUUUUAUUGUUACGUGUUGCUUAUAAGUUAUAACCGAUCAGCGGAGCGUAGUGGUGUAAAAAGUUGAUAGGGUGGCCGUGCAAAUCUGAUGAGCUACGUGAUGGAUGCUAUGAAUUUCUUCUUGACAACUGAAAGCACUAUAGGAUGGCCGACUUAUAAAAGACUGGGAUAAAGACCAAAAAAAGAAGAAAGCUUGUUGAUUUCGAAUGUGAUGUAUAUUUUUAUAAACAUUUGCUUGUCGAAAUUCGUUAUGAAAAUUCAUCGAGAACUCGAAGUGGUUGCCAUGGUUGUGAAAAUUACGGCGUCGUUAGAGAGUUAAAUAUUUCAUGAAUAUUAUUGAAAA